UUAAAUCUUAAAUCUUAAUUAAAUAUUAAUCAAUCUUAAUCAAAUCCUAGUUAAAUUCUAAAUCCUAAUCAAAUCUUAAUCAAAUCCUAAUCAAAUCCUAAACAAACUUUAAACAAAUUUUAAUCAAAUUUUAGUCAAAUCUUAGCCAAUUCUAGUCAAACCUUAAAAAAAUCCUAAUCAAAUCUUUGAUAAAUCUUGAAAAAUUCUAAUCAAAGACUAAUCAAAUUCUAAAUCUUAAUCAAAUUUUAAUCAAUCUUAAUCAAAUCUUAAUUAAAUCCUAAUCAAUUCUAAUUAAAUCCUAGCCAAAUCUUAAAUCCUAAUCAAACCUUCACUAAAUCCUAAACCAAUUUUAAUCAAAUUCUAGACAAAUCCUAAAUCUUAAUUAAAUUCUAAUUAAAUCCUAAUCAAAUCCUAAACC
RNAcentral lists this long non-coding RNA (418 nucleotides) under Physcomitrium patens. RNAcentral's name for it is "long non-coding RNA (PPAT_LNC009410)". The record is from RNAcentral. Lineage: Eukaryota; Viridiplantae; Streptophyta; Bryopsida; Funariales; Funariaceae.